RNAcentral lists this ribosomal RNA (451 nucleotides) under uncultured bacterium. Its description in RNAcentral is "partial 16S ribosomal RNA". It matches the Rfam family "Bacterial small subunit ribosomal RNA", at positions 339 to 795 of the family's 1533-position model. The record is from RNAcentral.
CUACGGGUUGCUGCAGUGGGGAAUAUUGCGCAAUGGGCGAAAGCCUGACGCAGCCACGCCGCGUGUGUGAUGAAGGCCUUCGGGUUGUAAAGCACUGUCGGGAGGGAAGAAGGCACUUCGGUGCUAGACGGUACCUCGCAAGAAAGCGCCGGCUAACUCCGUGCCAGCAGCCGCGGUAAUACGGAGGGCGCAAGCGUUGCUCGGAAGCACUGGGCGGAAAGCGCACGCAGGCGGCCUGUCAAGUCGAAUGUGAAAGCCCCGGGCUCAACCCGGGAACUGCAUCCGAAACUGGCAAGCUAGAGUAUGUGAGAGGGAAGCGGAAUUCCUGGUGUAGAGGUGAAAUUCGUAGAUAUCAGGAGGAACACCGGUGGCGAAGGCGGCUUCCUGGCACAACACUGACGCUCAUGUGCGAAAGCGUGGGGAGCAAACAGGAUUAGAUACCCGCGUAGUC